UCUCCUCUGCGUCUCCAGGCUACUUGGAACAUGAACAUGCUGCAGACACAGGAUCUUAUGAAGUCAGCGCAGGCAGCCCUGGAAAAGAAGAGUCCGAAAGACGUGCCCUUCUCCAAGCUUUAAAGGAGAAGAUCCAGGGCUGUUGAAGCUGCGGUGGAACUGAGACAUCAUCAUCCACAUAUCUUCAGUUCUUCUUGCUAAGAGAACGAGAAACUCGGACACAACAGUACAUCCUGACCAUUGGUACUGUGUACACAUCAACAUACACACACGUCUCCAUGCUGGACAUCUCAGGAGCUUUCACACAGUGCUAGGAAUAUCCCGGGACAGAGAAACGCACCUUCUAAG
Ictalurus punctatus (channel catfish) is the source of this 348-nucleotide long non-coding RNA. RefSeq lists it as uncharacterized. Lineage: Eukaryota; Metazoa; Chordata; Actinopteri; Siluriformes; Ictaluridae. The record is from RefSeq and is a predicted model, not a curated record. The transcript is spliced from 2 exons.